Molecule: long non-coding RNA, 563 nt
Organism: Drosophila persimilis
Lineage: Eukaryota; Metazoa; Arthropoda; Insecta; Diptera; Drosophilidae
Exons: 2
Source: RefSeq, a predicted model, not a curated record
AAAAGUGCUCUGCAUUGCCUGCGACAUCCGCUGUGCAUCGCAGAGCUACGCUACAGUUCCAUUGCACUAUCGCCUAUCGGCCAGCGACGUUGAACGAAUCGAAAAUAGUGCAGACAAUCGCAUAGCAUCGCGCAGGUGGCAAAUCGGGGCAUGCCACGCACUGGCAUGGGUCGGUACAGGAUGCCAUUACCGGCGGCCGAAGAGCUAAAGAGCCACUUGGGCCACUGCGAAAUCUGACGAUUUCUCGACAAGCAACCUACGUGAUCAUAAUACCAAUUCUUGACCCAGAAAUUUCACCCGGCACCCGGCUGCAAUCUUAUUAGCCAAACAUGCUAUGGAGCUAUGGAGCUAUGGAGCUAUGGAGAUGGUGGAGGAGUUCGAUUUAAAUAGCAGCUAUGACCACUUUUGGCUUUUAUACUAUGUUCAUAUCUUUCUUUCUUAAAACACCAGCUAAUGAGGGCACGGCACAGCACAGCAGAAAGACUAAUGCCAGCGGCUCCAAAUUGGAAGAGACUCAAUGGAGACAAGACACAAUAAAGUUCCAGCAAAGUUUCUCACUGUAA